Molecule: ribosomal RNA, 492 nt
Filed under: uncultured bacterium
Lineage: Bacteria
Description: partial 16S ribosomal RNA
Rfam family: Bacterial small subunit ribosomal RNA
Source: RNAcentral
AGUGAACGCUGGCGGUAGGCCUAACACAUGCAAGUCGAACGGCAGCACAGUAAGAGCUUGCUCUUACGGGUGGCGAGUGGCGGACGGGUGAGGAAUACAUCGGAAUCUACUUUUUCGUGGGGGAUAACGUAGGGAAACUUACGCUAAUACCGCAUACGACCUACGGGUGAAAGCAGGGGAUCUUCGGACCUUGCGCGAUUGAAUGAGCCGAUGUCGGAUUAGCUAGUUGGCGGGGUAAAGGCCCACCAAGGCGACGAUCCGUAGCUGGUCUGAGAGGAUGAUCCGCCACACUGGAACUGAGACACGGUCCAGACGCCUACGGGAGGCAGCAGUGGGGAAUAUUGGACAAUGGGCGCAAGCCUGAUCCAGCCAUACCGCGUGGGUGAAGAAGGCCUUCGGGUUGUAAAGCCCUUUUGUUGGGAAAGAAAAGCAGCAGGUUAAUACCCCGCUGUUCUGACGGUACCCAAAGAAUAAGCACCGGCUAACUUCGUG